Long non-coding RNA from Mesocricetus auratus (golden hamster), 2421 nucleotides. RefSeq lists it as uncharacterized. The record is from RefSeq and is a predicted model, not a curated record. The transcript has 5 exons. Lineage: Eukaryota; Metazoa; Chordata; Mammalia; Rodentia; Cricetidae.
AAACCCAAGCUGAGGCUCAGCCGCCUACCCACACAGACAAGGAAACGAGUCUGUGUGCUGAGUCACAGUCUCCAGGAACUGUCCCCAACACCGUCCGCAGCUCCAUAAGGGAGCUGGGGGACAGCAGAACGUCGCAGACCCUGUGGUCUCUCUGAAAAGUCCAAACACAGGAGGGGAACAUUUAAAUCCGCUGAUGGUCCAGGGCACGUCCUAACCUGUUCAAGAGGAAACAGAAAUUGGCGAAGCUCACGCAGACAUCCGCAGCCUCGAGAUCUGAAGACUACCCGAGAAGAAGACCGACCACAGCGUAACUGCCCUCCUUAUUAUCCUGUGGCACUUCCGGGAGAAGGAGGCGUACGCGCUCACACAACGACAUUCGUCCUAUAACGUACGACAGUGAACACAGGUCCAAAUAACAAGAUGCCGUCAGUACCGCCCAGCCUUUCAAGGUUCCGGGGGACGCUCCUGGUCCCUGCUCACUCCUCGGCCACAUCAUUCUGGGCUUUGCCUCCAGCUUCACGGGACUGUUUCUCUGAAUUCACUGUCCUGUGUUCUUGACUCUUUAAGGGAUUCCACGUCUAUGGUAACCCAGCAUGCUUUCAUCUGGCUCCUUGACUAACUACAUCGGCAGUCUCAUUUCCGAGUGUCACGAAGUCUUCCGAGAUUCCAGGCAAGUUAUGAAACGCACGGCAGGGAAGCAUGUUAUAUAGAUGUCUGGGCAUCGGAGAAAGACAUCCCCCAUUGAUUUCCACAGCUACCGGCUAGCAUCACGACACUGGGAGCCUCGCCCACCCACAGCCUUUAGUUGUUCACCUGUGAUGACAGCUUUGAAAUCAAACUGUAGAUAUGGAAGACAUGACAUACCCCCGGUCCCCUGGAUGCAGCCAGUGCUAAUGGUACAGUAACCCUGUAGCGUGCCACCCGACCCAGCCACCUUGGGAUGGAGAAAGCCUGACCUAGUACAGCCUGCCAGGCUGGCUCCUGCUCACAGUACCAUCUAGAAACUUUGCGCCUUUUUUUUUGGUGUGUGUGUGUGUGCUUGACUGCACUCUUGCUACAAGAGGGGGAGGCUGUGUCAUCCCUCCUGUCCCAUCAUUAGGUGAGAACAAAUGUUCUCAGAGACUCUACAGACCUGAAGCAGAGACUGCCAUGGGUUACUGAAGAACACCUGUAAUGGUGCUCUAUAUCUGUAGGUCACAUCUCCUUUGCAAGCCUCUGUCUCCAAAAAUAUCUUCAUUGUGAUUCGUAACAGAAGCAAAAUUACGGUUAUGGAGCAGCAAUGAAAAUAAUUUUAAGGAAUUAUAUUAAAGAGUUGCAGCAUUGGAAAGGUUGAGAAUCAGUGAUCUAUAGGAAACCUGCAGUGAUCUGUAGGAAGCCUGUUUCCAGUUAGCAGGAUCCUUAAUGGGGGUGGGGUAGUGUGAACAGCUCUCAGCCUCGGCAAAGUGCACAUUGUACAAUUAUUUCAUCACAAGUUGAGCUCCAGUCGCUCAGUGUCUGGCAUGAACCAACACUGAAAUCCCUUUUCCUUUAAUCCCCUUCAUCUGAGAAUAACCUCUCUUAAUGAAAGUCUCAAGAGGAGGUUACAAACGAUUUGUUUUUCCAGUUCCUCUUUUUUUUUUUUUUACAAUAUUUCCUAAAAUAGAGAGCCAUUCCUCCUGGCAUCUUCCAUGCAAUACUUUCAGUCAAAUAUGAUGUAGUCAAUACGGCCACACACCACUUCUUCCAGAAUGUCCCCUGGAGCCAGAGAAUGAAGAACAUGCAUCUGGUAUAACAAGUGGGAACCAGAUCGUUGGGGUUCAAACUCCCUGGUACUCUUGACUCCUUGAGUAAGAUCACGUUUUUGUGCCCUGGCAAGAGAGGCAUGUAACCUUGGACUGGGUAGCACAGCCCUACAACAGAUUGCUUAAGGAAGGUCAAAUACAUUCUGCUACUCCCGAAAGGCUAGAGCAAACAUUUCCAAGGCUGCAACAUUGUGUUCUUCGUGCUUUGAAAUCUAUAGAGUUUUCCUGUAACACUUACUUGACUUUUGCAACCAGGCUGGGGAUGUUGCUGCUCAGUGAUAGAUUUGCCUACCAUCGGUCUGGGUCUUGCCCUCAAGACUUCAAAAGUAUGAAAGUCAAAAUAGUUUUAACAUUCUGCAGUCUACUCCGGAGUAUAUGCUUAAGUAUAAAACGUGGAGCACAUGGGGGUUGUAGAGAUGGCUUAGCCGAUAAAAACACGUGCUACUCUUCCAGAGGACCCAGGUUCACAUCCUAGCCUCCCCCCCCCCGGCAGCCCACAAUCAUAUUGUAAUUCUAGGGGAUCCGACGCCCACUUCUGGCCUCUGUAGGCAUUAGGCACGCAUGUAAUGCACAGAUAUACAAGCAGGCAAAGCACCCGCACACAUAAAAUAAAAUAAAAAAGAAUACAUCUUUAACAGUA